GGCCCCUUUAAAUCCCAAUGGGCCUCAUAGGAUCCCAUUAGGGCCCCUUUAAAUCCCAAUGGCCCAUAGGAUCCCUAUAGGGCCCCCUUUAAAUCCCAAUGGCCCCAUAGGAUCCCAUUAGGGCCCCUUUAAAUCCCAAUGGGCCUCAUAUAGAUUCCCAUUUAGGGCCCCCUUUAAAUCCCAAUGGGCCCCAUAGGAUCCAUUAGGGCCCCCUUUAAAUCCCAAUGGGCCUCAUAGGAUCCCAUUAGGGCCCCCUUUAAAUCCCAAUGGGCCCCAUAGGAUCCCAUUAGGGCCCCUUUGGCCCCCAUUAGUCCCAAUGGGCCCCAUAGGAUCCCAUUAGGGCCCCCUUUAAAUCCCAAUGGGCCCCAUUGGAUCCCAUAAAGGCCCCCUUUAAAUCCCAAUGGUCCCCAUAGGAUCCCAUUCACCCCCAUUAGUCCCAAUGUGCCUCAUAGGAUCCCAUUAGGGCCCCCUUUAAACCCCAAUGGGCCCCAUAGGAUCCCAUUAGGGCCCCUUUAAAUCCCAAUGGGCCUCAUAGGAUCCAUUAGGGCCCUUUAAUCCCAAUGGGCCCCAUAGGAUCCCAUUUAGGGCCCCCUCUUAAACCCCAAUGGGCCCCAUAGGAUCCCCAUUAGGGCCCCUUUGCACAACCCCAUUAGUACCCCAAUGUGCCCCAUAGGAUCCCAUUAGGCCCCUUUGGCCCCCAUUAAGUCCCAAUGCGCCCCAUGGAUCCCAUUAGGGCCCCCUUUAAAUCCAAUGGGCCCCAUAGGAUCCCAU
This 771-nucleotide long non-coding RNA is filed under the name Coturnix japonica (Japanese quail). RNAcentral describes it as "lncRNA (ENSCJPG00005002339.1)". Lineage: Eukaryota; Metazoa; Chordata; Aves; Galliformes; Phasianidae. The record is from RNAcentral.